CCGGUAGUCCAGUGGUUAGCACGUCGGCUUCACAGUGCAGAGGUACCGGGUUCGAUUCCAGCUCCGGCCUCCCUGUGUGGAGUUUGCAUGUUCUCCCCGGGCCUGCGUGGGUUUUCUCCGGGUGCUCCGGUUUCCUCCCACAUUCCAAAAACAUGCAUGGCAGGCUGAUUGGACGCUCUAAAUUGUCCCUAGGUGUGAGUGGGAGUGCGGAUGGUUGUUCGUCUCUGUGUGCCCUGCGAUUGGCUGGCAACCGAUUCGGGGUGUCCCCCGCCUACUGCCCGGAGACAGCUGGGAUAGGCUCCAGCACCCCCCGCGACCCUUGUGAGGAUCAAGCGGCUCGGAAGAUGAAUGAA
This is a long non-coding RNA of Hippocampus zosterae (dwarf seahorse), 353 nucleotides long. RefSeq lists it as uncharacterized. Lineage: Eukaryota; Metazoa; Chordata; Actinopteri; Syngnathiformes; Syngnathidae. The record is from RefSeq and is a predicted model, not a curated record. The transcript is spliced from 2 exons.